Vigna unguiculata (cowpea) is the source of this 744-nucleotide long non-coding RNA. Lineage: Eukaryota; Viridiplantae; Streptophyta; Magnoliopsida; Fabales; Fabaceae. The record is from RefSeq and is a predicted model, not a curated record.
AAUACCCUUUUUCUAUAAGUUCUCUACUUUCAAUGUAGGAUACAGAAGUCGUCUUUCUUUCUUCUCAAUCAGAGUCUAACUUCGGACUCACGACAGAGAUUGCUCCAACCUCAUCCGAUCAAAAUCGUUCAUAAAGUUCAUUUGUGGGUUUGAAGGGUUAAAGAAGUGUUUUGACUAUAUUACGGAGAUUCCGCAAGGAUAUAUAACUCGUCUGUCUUUCUUCUCGAUCAGAGUCUAACUAUGGACUCAUUGCAGAGAUUGCUCCAACCUCAUCCGAUCAAAAUCGUUCAUAAAGUUCAUUUGUAGGUUUGAAGGGUUAAAGAAGUGUUUUGACUACAUUACGGGAGAUUGCGCAAGGUACGAAAAAAACAAAAAAUUCAAUUGUUUAUUUAUGAUUGUUUGGAUUACUUAAAAAUGAUUGAAUCACUAGAUAUGAUGAAAUUGUAUGCUUAAUCCAAGGAAUUAAAUUGAUUGAGAAUAUCAAUUUGAUAAAUGAGGUAUAUGAAAAUUGUGUUAGUAUGAUUGUGCUCUUAGGUUGAUGGGAAAUUUAGAAGAAUUUGAAUGAAACUAACUAAGUUUGUAAGAAUUAGUCUCUACUCUUACUUUUGAGAAUGUUUUGAAAUCAAAUGAAAUCAAAAGAAGGAGAGAAAAAAAGUACCGAUUAGAACUAAGGGAGCAAACCAAAUUAUUUGCAUUCUUGAUUUUUCUGCAUUAGCAUUGGUCGUAGCAAGAGAGUCUUGGGCG